AGCGUACACGGUGGAUGCCUAGGCAGUCAGAGGCGAUGAAGGGCGUGCUAAUCUGCGAAAAGCGUCGGUAAGGUGAUAUGAACCGUUAUACCCGACGAUACCCGAAUGGGGAAACCCAGUGUGUUUCGACACAUUAUCAUUACAUGAAUACAUAGUGUAAUGAGGCGAACCGGGGGAACUGAAACAUCUAAGUACCCCGAGGAAAAGAAAUCAACCGAGAUUCCCCCAGUAGCGGCGAGCGAACGGGGAAGAGCCCAGAACCAGAAUCAGCGUAUGUGUUAGUGGAAGCGUCUGGAAAGUCGCACAGUAUAGGGUGAUAGUCCCGUACACAAAAAUGCAUAUGUUGUGAGUUCGAUGAGUAGGGCGGGACACGUGACAUCCUGUCUGAAUAUGGGGGGACCAUCCUCCAAGGCUAAAUACUCCUGACUGACCGAUAGUGAACCAGUACCGUGAGGGAAAGGCGAAAAGAACCCCGGCGAGGGGAGUGAAAUAGAACCUGAAACCGUGUACGUACAAGCAGUGGGAGCCUACUUUGUUGGGUGACUGCGUACCUUUUGUAUAAUGGGUCAGCGACUUAUAUUUUGUAGCAAGGUUAACCGAAUAGGGGAGCCGUAGGGAAACCGAGUCUUAACUGGGCGUCAAGUUGCAAGGUAUAGACCCGAAACCCGGUGAUCUAGCCAUGGGCAGGUUGAAGGUUGGGUAACACUAACUGGAGGACCGAACCGACUAAUGUUGAAAAAUUAGCGGAUGACUUGUGGCUGGGGGUGAAAGGCCAAUCAAACCGGGAGAUAGCUGGUUCUCCCCGAAAGCUAUUUAGGUAGCGCCUCGUGAACUCAUCUUCGGGGGUAGAGCACUGUUUCGACUAGGGGGCCAUCCCGGCUUACCAACUCGAUGCAAACUACGAAUACCGAAGAAUGUUAUCACGGGAGACACACGGCGGGUGCUAACGUCCGUCGUGAAGAGGGAAACAACCCAGACCGCCAGCUAAGGUCCCAAAGUCAUGGUUAAGUGGGAAACGAUGUGGGAAGGCAUAGACAGCCAGGAUGUUGGCUUAGAAGCAGCCAUCAUUUAAAGAAAGCGUAAUAGCUCACUGGUCGAGUCGGCCUGCGCGGAAGAUGUAACGGGGCUAAACCAUGCACCGAAGCUGCGGCAGCGACGCUUAUGCGUUGUUGGGUAGGGGAGCGUUCUGUAAGCCGUCGAAGGUGAACUGUGAGGUUUGCUGGAGGUAUCAGAAGUGCGAAUGCUGACAUAAGUAACGAUAAUGCGGGUGAAAAACCCGCACGCCGGAAGACCAAGGGUUCCUGUCCAACGUUAAUCGGGGCAGGGUGAGUCGACCCCUAAGGCGAGGCUGAAAAGCGUAGUCGAUGGGAAGCUGGUUAAUAUUCCAGCACUUGGUGUUACUGCGAAGGGGGGACGGAGAAGGCUAGGCUAGCCGGGCGACGGUUGUCCCGGUUCAAGCGUGUAGGGGGUGUGAUUUGGUAAAUCCGGUCGCAUAUCAACCCUGAGGCGUGAUAACGAGCCACUACGGUGGUGAAGUAGUUGAUGCCAAGCUUCCAGGAAAAGCCUCUAAGCUCCAGGUAACACGAAAUCGUACCCCAAACCGACACAGGUGGUCAGGUAGAGAAUACUCAGGCGCUUGAGAGAACUCGGGUGAAGGAACUAGGCAAAAUGGUGCCGUAACUUCGGGAGAAGGCACGCUGGCGCGUAGGUGAAGGGACUUGCUCCCGGAGCUGAAGCCAGUCGAAGAUACCAGCUGGCUGCAACUGUUUAAUAAAAACACAGCACUGUGCAAACACGAAAGUGGACGUAUACGGUGUGACGCCUGCCCGGUGCCGGAAGGUUAAUUGAUGGGGUUAUCCGCAAGGAGAAGCUCUUGAUCGAAGCCCCGGUAAACGGCGGCCGUAACUAUAACGGUCCUAAGGUAGCGAAAUUCCUUGUCGGGUAAGUUCCGACCUGCACGAAUGGCGUAAUGAUGGCCAGGCUGUCU
This 1987-nucleotide ribosomal RNA is filed under the name Synergus umbraculus. RNAcentral's name for it is "bacterial LSU rRNA". It matches the Rfam family "Bacterial large subunit ribosomal RNA", at positions 14 to 2021 of the family's 2925-position model. Lineage: Eukaryota; Metazoa; Arthropoda; Insecta; Hymenoptera; Cynipidae. The record is from RNAcentral.